GCCAUCGGAGGCCUAAUACUGCAAGUCGAGGGGCAGCACAGGUAGCAAUACCGGGUGGCGACCGGCAAACGGGUGCGGAACACGUACGCAACCUUCCUUCAAGCGGGGAAUAGCCCAGAGAAAUUUGGAUUAAUACCCCAUAAGAAUGUGGAUUGGCAUCAAUCAGCAUUUAAAGAUUUAUCACUUGAAGAUGGGCGUGCGUCUGAUUAGGUAGUUGGUGAGGUAACGGCUCACCAAGCCGACGAUCAGUAACUGGCGUGAGAGCGCGACCAGUCACACGGGCACUGAGACACGGGCCCGACUCCUACGGGAGGCAGCAGUAAGGAAUAUUGGUCAAUGGACGAAAGUCUGAACCAGCCAUGCCGCGUGGAGGAUGAAGGCCCUCUGGGUUGUAAACUUCUUUUAUUUGGGACGAAACACUUCUUUUCUAAGGAGCUUGACGGUACCAGAUGAAUAAGCACCGGCUAACUCCGUGCCAGCAGCCGCGGUAAUACGGAGGGUGCAAGCGUUAUCCGGAUUCACUGGGUUUAAAGGGUGCGUAGGCGGACAUGUAAGUCCGUGGUGAAAUCUCCGAGCUUAACUCGGAAACUGCCAUGGAUACUAUAUGUCUUGAAUGUUGUGGAGGUUAGCGGAAUAUGUCAUGUAGCGUGAAA
Molecule: ribosomal RNA, 653 nt
Filed under: bacterium EK-I85
Lineage: Bacteria
Description: bacterial SSU rRNA
Rfam family: Bacterial small subunit ribosomal RNA
Source: RNAcentral